RNAcentral lists this ribosomal RNA (438 nucleotides) under uncultured bacterium. Its description in RNAcentral is "partial 16S ribosomal RNA". It matches the Rfam family "Bacterial small subunit ribosomal RNA", at positions 338 to 795 of the family's 1533-position model. The record is from RNAcentral.
CCUACGGGAGGCAGCAGUGGGGAAUAUUGCACAAUGGGGGGAACCCUGAUGCAGCGACGCCGCGUGAGUGAAGAAGUAUUUCGGUAUGUAAAGCUCUAUCAGCAGGGAAGAAAAUGACGGUACCUGACUAAGAAGCCCCGGAUAACUACGUGCAAGCAGCCGCGGUAAUACGGAGGGGGCAAGCGUUAUCCGGAUUUACUGGGUGUAAAGGGAGCGCAGAGGGCUGUGAAAGUCUGGAGAGAAAGGCGGGCGCCCAAGCACCGGACUGCUCGGGAAACUGUAAAGCUAGAGUGCAGGAGAGGUAAGCAAUGCCUAGUGUAGCGGUGAAAUGCGUAGAUAUUACGAAGAACACCAGUGGCGAAGGCAGCUUACUGGACUGCAACUGACGUUGAGGCUCGAAAGCGUGGGGAGCAAACAGGAUUAGAUACCCCUGUAGUC